GCUACCUACUGCUGCCACUAGCGCGCCUGCGCUAGUUUAGCGCGGCCGCGCCCUCCAGAAGUGUUCCGGGCCGAUUUUUACAGCUUUUCUGAUGGAUUUUCGCAGCGGACGAGGCCCGGUUGACUUAGUCAAAGCAUUUUAAUUUCUCAAGUGUAAAAACCCUAGCCUCGAAGUAGUUAGAAUAUCGGAGAACAAUAUCAUAGUUAGUUUUUUCUUUUGUAAUCAAGCACAUUAUCGGUUUUGUAUUGGAUCGUUCUUCGCGAGGAAGUGACAGUUUCGAGCGAGAUCGUGAACAUCAAUUCUAUAACGUUGUGAUCUUUAUUAUUAAUUCAAGCAAUUUUAUUCCGCUU
RNAcentral lists this long non-coding RNA (350 nucleotides) under Daucus carota (carrot). RNAcentral's name for it is "long non-coding RNA (DCAR_LNC006305)". The record is from RNAcentral. Lineage: Eukaryota; Viridiplantae; Streptophyta; Magnoliopsida; Apiales; Apiaceae.